Molecule: long non-coding RNA, 3276 nt
Organism: Esox lucius (northern pike)
Lineage: Eukaryota; Metazoa; Chordata; Actinopteri; Esociformes; Esocidae
Source: Ensembl
GCUGCACUUCAUGGCUCAAUACAAACAGUGUGACUGGAACAGGACUUUGAUCUCCCAUGCUAUUAAAACCACCUAAAACAUUCACAAUCGGCUAUGAUGCUACAUAAAACUGUUUACAUAUUCCAGUUAUUUUGGUGAAUCACAGUCACUAAACCCCUCCAGUAGACUGAGGUUUUGGUUCCCCAUGUUAAGGCCAAGGCUUUAGCUCAUCAGCAUAACACUGUCCAUGGAACACAACAGACUCUGGUUUUAAACAUUUGGUAAAUGGUAGUAUUGUUCAUACAUACAUUUUAUGAACCAAAGCUGUGUUGGAUUGGUAGCAAGGAGGUAUCUCAACUGCUCAACCUGUAGUCUAGUCAUAAACACUGUUCAUACAUGGCUUUAUCAUGUCUGCACACAUUUUUAGGCAGGCGUUGAUGAUUAAAACAUGCAUUUUAAAGGCAGCUAUGAACUAAUAUGAUUUCAUCAAGGUUUUCAGUGACAGUCAGUGAAAGGGUUUUAUCAUUGCUUAAUGACCUACCAUUAGCCAAAGUCCUAAUAUUAUUGAAGUAUGAAUCUAUGAUUGGGCAGCGGUAAUAAAGCCUGAAAGAAAAUGUUUAAGAGGCGUGUCAAUGACACUAUGUCGGUCAGUCACAUGGCGAAGAUAAUCAGUUGUCUGUUCAAUAUCUUACUAAUAGGCUUUCAUAAAUCAUCUUACUGGGUAGAGCUGUUAUGAAACCGAUGGGGUUAAAGAGCAUAGAAGAUGUGUGGAAGCAUCAGACAUGACUGACACAGAAGAGAACAGAUUGGAUCUUCAAAAUGGAAAACAGACUUCAUUCCAGAUGUCAAAAAACAUUUAAAUAAACUACCAUAUUAUCACAGAUCAAGGCCCACAACAAUAAUACUUCAUCAUAUUAACAGUUUUGAGUAAGGCUUACAAAAAUACAAUUUAUUCAAGAUUUUUGAAUAUUUACACAUGUACACAGAGCAGGUGGAGGGACAAAUCUUGCUUCACAGGACACACAUUCAUAGACGUCCAUAAUCCCACGCUUGCCACAUAAGCCGAUUCAUCCUUUUCCCACAGGGCGCCUCCCAAACACACCUUUCACAAACCCCAGUGCUAAGUCUCUGCAGAACAGUUAGUACAGCUUCAGGGUCAUGGAUCCACGCAUAGCCUAGGUUCUCUUCGAGUGUGUUUGGCCUUCAGUUUUCCCAGCUAGUAUGGUCCCCCGGGUGACAGUGGGGCUGAGGAGGAACCAAACCAAGGCGCAGUGGAUGGAGAACGCAAUUAGACAUCUGGGGCGUGUGAGAUCUCUGAGUAGGCUGGAGGAAGAUCUGCUUCGAUGAAGUCUGGCUUCAUCUCCACCUAGAAGAACGCAACCCAAGCUGGUUUAAUGAACGCCAAACACUCAGAUUCCAGAAUACAGUGCAACACGUUAGCGUUUUACCCAAAUGAAACCUCUUCGUAAGGUAAUCGACCUCAUUGGACCUCUCGCUCCAAAGGACCUCUUACCUCGUUGUAGGCAGGAGGCGGGCUGUAGGACUCUGUGGUGCUGUAACGCGGAGGCCUGUGGAGGUCUUCGUUGUCACAGGACACCGCUGGGAAGGGGAUAACGAAAACCGAGGGCCUGUCGAGUCUCUCCUCCCGCUCCAUUCGCUCCUCGCGGACGCGGUGAAAGGCCUUGCAGAAGGCCGUGCAGCAGAGGAUGAUAAUUCCAAACGUGAUGAUCGGCAUGAAGAUUCUGAGGAAGUACAUUUUGAUUGGUCAGUGAAUUCGCCCUGCUUGGCGAGAUACAUGCAGAUGCCUAUUGUUGACAUUGUUGUUGUGUGUAUGCGCGUGUCUGCGCUACGGGCAACCGUUCUGCAAAACUUUGAGACUGUGUUUUGGGUUUUCAGGUGACCUAAUGAGGUUUGAGGUCAUCUCCUGUUUCACCUGCGCUGGUCACCAUGUUGUUAGUCCAGGAGUCUUUCACCCGGUCUGGUUCUGCUAAAAUCGAAAAGCUGCAUGCACAGCGCUUCAGACGUAAUGAUACUUAGCAACCAAUUCUGUGGUUUCUGCUACUUAUUGACACUGCCCUGGCAUGGUUGGAUUUCCCUGCCUGGUUUACUCCUCUUUGAUUAUUCACUAGAUUUCCCUUAAUUAGUCUUAGUAUUUAUUUUGGUCUGCCUUCCCUGAGGCAAACCUGAUGGGCUUGAAUGAUGGGUAUCUAAUUAAGCAAUAAGGCAUGUGUUAUGUGGUGGCAAAUAUUCCACAGCUAAGGGCUUUUCUUAGACACAAAUGGAUACAGCACUUAGUUGUGGUACAUUGGCAAAAUUCCACAAACCCUCAAGAUGCCUUUCUGCAAUUACAAGUCAAUUACCGAUGUGAAUAGACAAGUUAAAAGUGAUGUAACGUCAUACUGUCUCUUAUUAACCAGGUGAUUGGAUACUGAAUGCUGAUUGGAUGAUAGCCAUGGUAUAUGUGACCGUAUUCCAUGGGUAUGAUAUAACAUCAGUUUUUUUAGCUCUCAUUCUGUUGGUAAACAGUUUGUAAGAGCAAUAAGCCAUCUCGUAAGGUACUGCUAAUUGUGAUAUAUAGGCAAUACAGCACGGCUAAGCGCCCUGUUUGAGCAACUAUCCAUUUUGUAUUGUAAGUAGUUAAUGCAAGACACUGUCCUAGGACACUUACUCUAAAAUGGGGAACGAGACUUCAAAGGACAUCUUGAGAAGUUACGCAACAGCAGCACCACAGAAGAAACCUGUAAUUGAAAGAUAAGACCUUGGGUUAUCAUCCCUUUCACUUCCUCAUAAAACUUUGUAUUGAACACGUCUGUAAUCUCACGUAUGGCCCUCUAAUUUCAAUGGACAGUGAACUGAACAUUUGUUGUGAAACCACUCAGAACACUGGGUAAUUACAAAAUGCCCUUCUGUGAUUACAUUACCUCUUCCCGCUUCCAGCCAGUCAUUAAGGAGGAACAUUCAGGUCACUGUGAAGCAUUGACCUAGUUCAGAUGGAGCUGAUAAUGGCUUUGUGAUGUGUUGAAAACCUGGUUGCUGUAUACUGACCAACAAAGUGCAUUUGGAAAGUAUUCCAACCGCUUCACUUUCUCCAUGUUUUGCUGUGUCACAGACUUACUUUAAAAUGUAUGUAAGUAUUUUUUGCCAUCAAUCUACACACAAUAACCCAUAACGACAAACCGCAAAAUUUUUUUUUUGCAAUGCCUACCAAUUUAUUGAAAAUAAAUAAAAGAUGGAGUCCACUGUGCUUCUGGGAAUUUCCAAUGCUUUAACUAUUUUUUAUAAUGUCCCCAAAAUCUA